Molecule: long non-coding RNA, 569 nt
Filed under: Gossypium barbadense (sea-island cotton)
Lineage: Eukaryota; Viridiplantae; Streptophyta; Magnoliopsida; Malvales; Malvaceae
Description: long non-coding RNA (GBAR_LNC010115)
Source: RNAcentral
UCUUGUGGACGUUCUAUAAUGUUGAAAGACAUGGACAUCCACCUGAUUGAAGUUCACCAGAACGAAUGUCAGGCCAACAUCGCCAUCCAAAGUUAGCUCUUAUUUUGCAGGUAAAAAGGAAAAUCAUUAUGAAUAUGCAUGAAUGAAAGAAAACAGAUAUGUGAUUAUUUGUGUAUAGUGCAAGAAUUAUGCAAUAUACAAGAUAUGUAUCAUGUGAAUGGUAUUGUUUUUUUAUGUAGUUUCACAUACUAAUGCGGGUUGAGAAACUUCAUCAGUCAGUAUUUCUACAAAUGGUAUAUAAUUGUCCAUGAUGAGAAGUCGGAGUACAGAACAAUCUCAACCGCAACUUGCAAGAGAUGGUGGCCCUGGGAAAGGCGGAUUUGUAGCAUAGUUGCUUUUCGGUUGGGGAGUAAAGUCCCUUCAAGCUUGGUCGGACUUCAAUGGUGAGAUAUCAGCUUAGGAACUUGUCAUUUUGUUUGUUUUGUCAUUUCAUGUUUGUCUGGCUGUUAACAGCUAGGGAUUAUUGAUGUGAUGCUUGAUCCCAGUGAUAGUGUAAAUUUAGAUAAGGC